GAUGAACGCUGGCGGCGUGCCUAAUACAUGCAAGUCGAGCGAACAGACGAGGAGCUUGCUCCUCUGACGUUAGCGGCGGACGGGCUAGUAACACGUGGAGAACCUACCUAUAAGACUGGGAUAACUUCGGGAAACCGGAGCCAAUACCGUAUAAUAUAUUGAACCGCAUGGUUCCAUAGUGAGAGACGGGUUUGCUGUCACUUAUAGAUGGAUCCGCGCCGCAGUAGCUAGUUGGUAAGGUAACGGCUUACCAAGGCAACGAGGCGUAGCCGACCUGAGAGGGUGGUCGGCCACACUGGAACUGAGCCACGGUCCAGAGUCCUACGGGAGGCACCAGUAGGGAACCGUACGCAAUGGGCGAAAGCAUGACGGAGCAACGCCGCGUGAGUGAUGAAGGUCUUCGGAUCGUAAAACUGUGUUAUUAGGGAAGAACAAAUGUGUAAGUAACUCUGCACGUCUUGACGGUACCUAAUCAGAAAGCCACGGCUAACUCCGUG
Molecule: ribosomal RNA, 497 nt
Filed under: uncultured bacterium
Lineage: Bacteria
Description: partial 16S ribosomal RNA
Rfam family: Bacterial small subunit ribosomal RNA
Source: RNAcentral